AUACUAGUCGACUGUACGUAGUCAGCUACGAUCUAGCUAGUCACUGACGUCGAGACUAGCUACUACGCUCGAUCGUACCUAGAGUAGUAUGAUCAGGACGUGAUGCAAUCAGAGACAUCAGCGUCUGACUACUACUAGACGAGCUAGACUAGAGCUAGAUCUGUAGUCAGCGCACGUAGUCUAGAUCGUCAUCACGAUCGUGCGUACUAGAUCAGUACGCUAGGAGUACGUCGAGCUAGCUCAUGAUGACUGUGCGCACAGCGCGAGCAUGCGAUGAUCGAUGCACGCGAGAUCUACUGGCUGACAUGAUCGUACGUCAGAGAUGACGCCUCUGUGGCGCUCACAGAUGGUGCAUGCUGUCGUCAGCUCGUGUCGUGAGAUGAUGGAUGAGUCAGCAACGAGCGCAGCGCUCGUCUACUGCGGUCAGCAUUUGAUGAGGACUCAGUCGAGACGCCGCGGUCAACUCGGAGGAAGGUGAAGAUGACGUCAAGUCAUCAUGCUCCUUAUGUCCAGGGUUCACGCAUGCUACAAUGGCCGGUACACAGAGUGGCGACAUCGUGAGGUGGAGCGAAUCUCAGAAAGCCGGUCUCAGUUCGGAUUGGGGUCUGCAACUCGACCCCAUGAAGUCGGAGUCGCUAGUAAUCGCAGUUCAACAUCGCUGCGGUGAAUACGUUUACGGCCUUGUACACGCCGCCCGUCAAGUACUUAGUCGUAUCGCCGAAACGGAUGAUCAACACGAAUGCGCCGUGUAGCCUCGUAAGAC
This 763-nucleotide ribosomal RNA is filed under the name Acidipropionibacterium acidipropionici. Its description in RNAcentral is "partial 16S ribosomal RNA". The stretch from base 255 to 678 matches the Rfam family "Bacterial small subunit ribosomal RNA", at positions 922 to 1376 of the family's 1533-position model. The record is from RNAcentral. Lineage: Bacteria; Bacillati; Actinomycetota; Actinomycetes; Propionibacteriales; Propionibacteriaceae.